RNAcentral lists this ribosomal RNA (849 nucleotides) under Pseudarthrobacter polychromogenes. Its description in RNAcentral is "bacterial SSU rRNA". It matches the Rfam family "Bacterial small subunit ribosomal RNA", at positions 62 to 922 of the family's 1533-position model. The record is from RNAcentral. Lineage: Bacteria; Bacillati; Actinomycetota; Actinomycetes; Micrococcales; Micrococcaceae.
UCGAACGAUGAAGGGAGCUUGCUCCUGGAUUAGUGGCGAACGGGUGAGUAACACGUGAGUAACCUGCCCUUAACUCUGGGAUAAGCCUGGGAAACUGGGUCUAAUACCGGAUAUGACUCCUCAUCGCAUGGUGGGGGGUGGAAAGCUUUUUGUGGUUUUGGAUGGACUCGCGGCCUAUCAGCUUGUUGGUGAGGUAAUGGCUCACCAAGGCGACGACGGGUAGCCGGCCUGAGAGGGUGACCGGCCACACUGGGACUGAGACACGGCCCAGACUCCUACGGGAGGCAGCAGUGGGGAAUAUUGCACAAUGGGCGAAAGCCUGAUGCAGCGACGCCGCGUGAGGGAUGACGGCCUUCGGGUUGUAAACCUCUUUCAGUAGGGAAGAAGCGAAAGUGACGGUACCUGCAGAAGAAGCGCCGGCUAACUACGUGCCAGCAGCCGCGGUAAUACGUAGGGCGCAAGCGUUAUCCGGAAUUAUUGGGCGUAAAGAGCUCGUAGGCGGUUUGUCGCGUCUGCUGUGAAAGACCGGGGCUCAACUCCGGUUCUGCAGUGGGUACGGGCAGACUAGAGUGAUGUAGGGGAGACUGGAAUUCCUGGUGUAGCGGUGAAAUGCGCAGAUAUCAGGAGGAACACCGAUGGCGAAGGCAGGUCUCUGGGCAUUAACUGACGCUGAGGAGCGAAAGCAUGGGGAGCGAACAGGAUUAGAUACCCUGGUAGUCCAUGCCGUAAACGUUGGGCACUAGGUGUGGGGGACAUUCCACGUUUUCCGCGCCGUAGCUAACGCAUUAAGUGCCCCGCCUGGGGGAGUACGGCCGCAAGGCUAAAACUCAAAGGAAUUGACGGGGGCCC